RNAcentral lists this transfer RNA (77 nucleotides) under Mucilaginibacter panaciglaebae. RNAcentral's name for it is "tRNA-Arg". It matches the Rfam family "tRNA". From Rfam's summary of the family: Transfer RNA (tRNA) molecules are approximately 80 nucleotides in length. Their secondary structure includes four short double-helical elements and three loops (D, anti-codon, and T loops). The record is from RNAcentral. RNAcentral also lists the same sequence under 1 other name. Lineage: Bacteria; Pseudomonadati; Bacteroidota; Sphingobacteriia; Sphingobacteriales; Sphingobacteriaceae.
GCACUUGUAGCUCAAUUGGAUAGAGCAUCUCACUACGGAUGAGAAGGUUUGGGGUUCGAAUCCCUACAAGUGCACCA